UACGAAGGGGGCUAGCGUUGCUCGGAAUUACUGGGCGUAAAGCGCACGUAGGCGGCUUCUUAAGUCGGUGGUGAAAGCCUUGAGCUCAACUCAAGAAGUGCACUCGGUACUGGGUGACUAGAGGACCGGAGAGGAUAGUGGAAUUCCCAGUGUAGUGGUGAAAUACGUAGAGAUUGGGAAGAACACCAGUGGCGAAGGCGGCUAUCUGGACGGUUUCUGACGCUAAGACGCGAAAGCGUGGGGAGCAAACAGG
This 253-nucleotide ribosomal RNA is filed under the name uncultured bacterium. RNAcentral's name for it is "partial 16S ribosomal RNA". It matches the Rfam family "Bacterial small subunit ribosomal RNA", at positions 524 to 776 of the family's 1533-position model. The record is from RNAcentral.